AUUGAACGCUGGCGGCAGGCCUAACACAUGCAAGUCGAACGGUAACAGGGAUCAGCUUGCUGAUUCGCUGACGAGUGGCGGACGGGUGAGUAAUGUCUGGGAAACUGCCUGAUGGAGGGGGAUAACUACUGGAAACGGUAGCUAAUACCGCAUAACGUCGCAAGACCAAAGAGGGGGACCUUCGGGCCUCUUGCCAUCGGAUGUGCCCAGAUGGGAUUAGCUAGUAGGUGGGGUAACGGCUCACCUAGGCGACGAUCCCUAGCUGGUCUGAGAGGAUGACCAGCCACACUGGAACUGAGACACGGUCCAGACUCCUACCGGAGGCAGCAGUGGGGAAUAUUGCACAAUGGGCGCAAGCCUGAUGCAGCCAUGCCGCGUGUAUGAAGAAGGCCUUCGGGUUGUAAAGUACUUUCAGCGGGGAGGAAGGGAGUAAAGUUAAUACCUUUGCUCAUUGACGUUACCCGCAGAAGAAGCACCGGCUAACUCCGUG
This 490-nucleotide ribosomal RNA is filed under the name uncultured bacterium. RNAcentral describes it as "partial 16S ribosomal RNA". It matches the Rfam family "Bacterial small subunit ribosomal RNA", at positions 30 to 507 of the family's 1533-position model. The record is from RNAcentral.